Molecule: ribosomal RNA, 598 nt
Filed under: uncultured bacterium
Lineage: Bacteria
Description: bacterial SSU rRNA
Rfam family: Bacterial small subunit ribosomal RNA
Source: RNAcentral
AGAGUUUGAUCCUGGCUCAGGGUGAACGCUGGCGGUAUGCCUAAGACAUGCAAGUCGCACGGACUGUUUCGGCAGUUAGUGGCGGACGGGUGAGUAACACGUAGGUGACCUACCCCAAAGUCUGGGACAACUAGGAGAAAUCUUAGCUAAUCCUGGAUGUGAACCUCAGCUGUGGCUGAUGUUUAAAGCUUCGGCGCUUUGGGAUGGGCCUGCGGCGCAUCAGGUAGUUGGUGGGGUAACGGCCCACCAAGCCGACGACGCGUAGCUGGUCUGAGAGGACGACCAGCCACAGGGGUACUGAGACACGGACCCCACUCCUACGGGAGGCAGCAGUUAGGAAUCUUCCGCAAUGGGCGAAAGCCUGACGGAGCGAUACCGCUUGAAGGACGAAGCCCUUCGGGGUGCAAACUUCUGAACUCGGGACGAUAAUGACGGUACCGAGGUAAUAGCACCGGCUAACUCCGUGCCAGCAGCCGCGGUAAUACGGAGGGUGCGAGCGUUACCCGGAUUUACUGGGUGUAAAGGGCGUGUAGGCGGUCUCUCAAGUCCGAUGCUAAAGACCGAAGCUCAACUUCGGGGGUGCGUUGGAUACUGUGAG